Molecule: non-coding RNA, 26 nt
Filed under: Homo sapiens (human)
Lineage: Eukaryota; Metazoa; Chordata; Mammalia; Primates; Hominidae
Source: RNAcentral
UACGUAGGUCUUGUGGAAGCUCAGGC